RNAcentral lists this ribosomal RNA (484 nucleotides) under uncultured bacterium. RNAcentral's name for it is "partial 16S ribosomal RNA". It matches the Rfam family "Bacterial small subunit ribosomal RNA", at positions 30 to 507 of the family's 1533-position model. The record is from RNAcentral.
AUUGAACGCUGGCGGCAGGCCUAACACAUGCAAGUCGAGCGGAUGAAGGGAGCUUGCUCCUGGAUUCAGCGGCGGACGGGUGAGUAAUGCCUAGGAAUCUGCCUGGUAGUGGGGGAUAACGUCCGGAAACGGGCGCUAAUACCGCAUACGUCCUGAGGGAGAAAGUGGGGGAUCUUCGGACCUCACGCUAUCAGAUGAGCCUAGGUCGGAUUAGCUAGUUGGUGGGGUAAAGGCCUACCAAGGCGACGAUCCGUAACUGGUCUGAGAGGAUGAUCAGUCACACUGGAACUGGGACACGGUCCAGACUCCUACGGGAGGCAGCAGUGGGGAAUAUUGGACGAUGGGCGAAAGCCUGAUCCAGCCAUGCCGCGUGUGUGAAGAAGGUCUUCGGAUUGUAAAGCACUUUAAGUUGGGAGGAAGGGCAGUAAGUUAAUACCUUGCUGUUUUGACGUUACCAACAGAAUAAGCACCGGCUAACUUCGUG